RNAcentral lists this unclassified non-coding RNA (334 nucleotides) under soil metagenome. RNAcentral's name for it is "partial contains 5.8S ribosomal RNA, internal transcribed spacer 2, and large subunit ribosomal RNA". The stretch from base 1 to 120 matches the Rfam family "5.8S ribosomal RNA", at positions 35 to 154 of the family's 154-position model. The record is from RNAcentral.
GAUGAAGAACGUAGUGAAAUGCGAUAAGUAGUGUGAAUUGCAGAAUUCAGUGAAUCAUCGAAUCUUUGAACGCACAUUGCGCCCCUUGGUAUUCCAUGGGGCAUGCCUGUUCGAGCGUCAUUUGUACCUUCAAGCUUUGCUUGGUGUUGGGUGUUUGUCCAUUCUCUUGCAGAGGGACUCGCCUUAAAGUAAUUGGCAGCCAGUGUUUUGGUUUUGAAGCGCAGCACAAGUCGCGAUUCAACGCUAUACGCCAGCUUCCACAAGCCUUUUUCACUUUUGACCUCGGAUCAGGUAGGGAUACCCGCUGAACUUAAGCAUAUCAAUAAGCGGAGGA